This 254-nucleotide ribosomal RNA is filed under the name uncultured bacterium. Its description in RNAcentral is "partial 16S ribosomal RNA". It matches the Rfam family "Bacterial small subunit ribosomal RNA", at positions 524 to 776 of the family's 1533-position model. The record is from RNAcentral.
UACGUAGGGACCAAGCGUUGUUCGGAUUUACUGGGCGUAAAGGGCGCGUAGGCGGUGCGGUAAGUCACUUGUGAAAUCUCUGAGCUUAACUCAGAACGGCCAAGUGAUACUGCAGUACUAGAGUGCGGAAGGGGCAAUCGGAAUUCUUGGUGUAGCGGUGAAAUGCGUAGAUAUCAAGAGGAACACCUGAGGUGAAGACGGGUUGCUGGGCCGACACUGACGCUGAUGCGCGAAAGCCAGGGGAGGCAAACGGG